RNAcentral lists this long non-coding RNA (1383 nucleotides) under Piliocolobus tephrosceles (Ugandan red Colobus). RNAcentral's name for it is "lncRNA (ENSPTEG00000018919.1)". Lineage: Eukaryota; Metazoa; Chordata; Mammalia; Primates; Cercopithecidae. The record is from RNAcentral.
AUGAACAUAAAAACAGGACUAAUGUUUAAUUGUUUUAGUAAAAAAAAGUAUGUACUAUUUAAUAUCAAAAGAAAAUGGGUUUUAUUAAAUAAAAGUUAUAUAAGCAAAUUAAUAUAUACAAAAGAAGAUGAAAUAUAUAAAAUUAACAACUUGGCUGAUUUCCCAAGUUUGAAUAAUUUGAAUAAUAAAAAAAUAUUAGAGUUAAGCGAAGACAGUAGUAAUAUAUUUUCUAAUAGUAAUCUUGAUCAUGUUAUAUCACUACCGAACAAUAAAACUGGUAAAAACAGUGGUGGUAAAGAAAGUGGUAAGAAAAAUAAUAAUGACGAAGACAAUAAUGAAACAGAAAAGAAUGACUAUAAGAAAGAUCCUAAAUUUGAUUUGAAAUUAUCCCCUAACAAUGAAAUGUUAAAUAACAUGUAUAAUUUGAAUAAUAAAUUUAUACCUUCUGAUUACGAGUUACAAUUAUAUAAAAACAAUUGUCGAAUAUCAUAUUAUUGGAUUAAAAAAUUAAACAAAUUAAAAAAUAUCAAUGCAAUUAAUUGUUUAGAAUAUUUAAAAGAUGACAAUUUAUUAUAUUAUGACUGUUAUAAAAAUAAAGGUUUACUUAAGUUUUUGAAUGAAGAAAAAAAAAAAUAUAGUAAUUGUAUAAUUUUGUCUAGAGUUGGUGAUUUUUAUGAAACAUAUGGACUAGAUUCCAUUUUUUUAAUUGAGUUUUUAAAUAUAAAAAAAAUGAAUAAUAAAUUAUCAUGUGGUUUUAUAAAAACUAGUAUUAAUAAAGCGUUAAGUAUAUUAACAAAUAAUAAUUUAAACAUAUGUAUUUAUGAAGAAAUGAAUGAAAAGUCUUUACAAUUAAAAAAAAGAUAUCUUUCUCAGAUUGUUACUCCAGAAUAUCCAAUUUAUUUAAAUAAUAUACAGUAUUAUAAUAGUAUUAAUAAUUUAUCAGAAAAUGGUAUAACUACAGAAACUGAUUCUACUACAUUUAGCAAUAACUUACCCGAAUCGACACAAAUUAAUAACAGUUGUAAUAAAAAUAGUGUUAUAAAUAAUAUCAGCACAAAUGAUUAUAAUUGGACUAAAACGAAUGAUUGUAUAAAGACAAGUACAGAAUCAUUAAAUAACAGUUUUUUUAAUUCAUAUGAUUUGGAUAAUUAUAUUGACAUUAAAGAAAUAGUAUGUAUAUAUAUAGAAAGUAAAAAUAUUUUUUCUCUUAGUAAAAUAAAUUUAAGUUUAAAAACUAUUGCUAUAUAUGAUAAUAUAACAUUUGAUGUUUUAAAUAUAUAUUUAAAAAAUAGCAAUUUUUUAAAAGUAUAUAUACAUCAACAUAAUAAUACAAAUUUUACCAAAAAAAUAACUCAACUAUUUCAAAUUGAAAAUUAUUAUUUA